Molecule: non-coding RNA, 781 nt
Organism: Pelobates cultripes (western spadefoot toad)
Lineage: Eukaryota; Metazoa; Chordata; Amphibia; Anura; Pelobatidae
Source: the annotation of a GenBank genome assembly
CCAUCUUCCAAUCCGUUGAAUUCCCGCAGCCGAGUACCCCAAUACACUCGCCUGGGUAGCCGCCCCGAUCCGAAAGGAAUGGGCCGAAAACCCGUGACCAUCCAUGCCACUCUCCACCAAUGCUCUCUUCAACAUCGCCGAGAACUGAUACCGGGUUAGAGGAGACCCGUCCACGUGAGCUAACAAAGGGCCUCCCCGCUCCGGGCGCACCUCCAGAAAAUCUUGGAAGGCCCCAACCGGACAAACUUCGUCCCUCGUGGCCCCCAAACGAACCCAGGCCCCCCGGGCCGCCUGGUCCGUCUUAGAUCGCCGCACAAAAAUGUCGAUGGUGGAAGUAGACCACCGCACAUCCGACAAUGCCAACGGCGAGGCCUUCCCCUUGCUCGGGGCCACCAAUUCGCCGAUAUGAAAGGCACCAAAAAAGCAGACCGAGAAGGCCACGCGAAACAGCUUCGAUACGUACUCCGAACCACAGACCGUCGGUAGUACUAAAAUAAUCCGUCGCAACAUUUCAGCCGAAAUUGGGCGACGACCAUCCGGGCGACGCCGCAGCCGCCAACCCUUGACCACCCUCUGAAUCCCAUAUUCCUUAGUAACAUCCUGCCAGCCCAUAAAGCGAAACAGGAACGACAGGGCAGCCAACGCCUUCUCCGCUGCAGCGCAGGACCUACCUCUCCUGACCAAGUCAUCCAGCAACACGAGCGUCCUCUCCGCACGACCCGAUUCCGUGGACACAUCCCCGUCCCAUGCUGAUGACAGCCACUGCCUCCACACUGCCCGG